GAUACCUUAGUACGGCGAGUGAAGCGGUAAAGCUCAAAUUUGAAAUCUGGUACUUUCAGUGCCCGAGUUGUAAUUUGUAGAAUUUGUCUUUGAUUAGGUCCUUGUCUAUGUUCCUUGGAACAGGACGUCAUAGAGGGUGAGAAUCCCGUUUGGCGAGGAUACCUUUUCUCUGUAAGACUUUUUCGAAGAGUCGAGUUGUUUGGGAAUGCAGCUCAAAGUGGGUGGUAAAUUCCAUCUAAAGCUAAAUAUUGGCGAGAGACCGAUAGCGAACAAGUACAGUGAUGGAAAGAUGAAAAGAACUUUGAAAAGAGAGUGAAAAAGUACGUGAAAUUGUUGAAAGGGAAGGGCAUUUGAUCAGACAUGGUGUUUUUUGCAUGCACUCGCCUCUCGUGGGCUUGGGCCUCUCAAAAAUUUCACUGGGCCAACAUCAAUUCUGGCAGCAGGAUAAAUCAUUAAGAAUGUAGCUACUUCGGUAGUGUUAUAGCUUUUUGGAAUACUGUUAGCCGGGAUUGAGGACUGCGCUUCGGCAAGGAUGUUGGCAUAAUGGUUAAAUGCCGCCCGUCUUGAAACCA
Molecule: ribosomal RNA, 572 nt
Filed under: Hanseniaspora uvarum
Lineage: Eukaryota; Fungi; Ascomycota; Saccharomycetes; Saccharomycodales; Saccharomycodaceae
Description: partial large subunit ribosomal RNA
Rfam family: Eukaryotic large subunit ribosomal RNA
Source: RNAcentral